Molecule: small nuclear RNA, 105 nt
Organism: Mesocricetus auratus (golden hamster)
Lineage: Eukaryota; Metazoa; Chordata; Mammalia; Rodentia; Cricetidae
Source: Ensembl
GUUCUUUUUGGCAGCACAUAUACUAAAAUUUGAAUGGUGCAGAAGAGAAUAGCAUGACCUUUACAGAAGGAUGACACACAAAUUCGUGAAGCCAACACAUUUUUU